Molecule: ribosomal RNA, 427 nt
Filed under: uncultured bacterium
Lineage: Bacteria
Description: partial 16S ribosomal RNA
Rfam family: Bacterial small subunit ribosomal RNA
Source: RNAcentral
UGGGGAAUAUUGCACAAUGGGCGCAAGCCUGAUGCAGCCAUGCCGCGUGUGUGAAGAAGGCCUUCGGGUUGUAAAGCACUUUCAGCGAGGAGGAAGGGUAGUGUGUUAAUAGCACAUUGCAUUGACGUUACUCGCAGAAGAAGCACCGGCUAACUCCGUGCCAGCAGCCGCGGAAAUAAGGAGGGUGCAAGCGUUAAUCGGAAUUACUGGGCGUAAAGCGCACGCAGGCGGUUUGUUAAGUCAGAUGUGAAAUCCCCGCGCUUAACGUGGGAACUGCAUUUGAAACUGGCAAGCUAGAGUCUUGUAGAGGGGGGUAGAAUUCCAGGUGUAGCGGUGAAAUGCGUAGAGAUCUGGAGGAAUACCGGUGGCGAAGGCGGCCCCCUGGACAAAGACUGACGCUCAGGUGCGAAAGCGUGGGGAGCAAACA